AGCUGUUUUGGGACUACAACUCCCAUCAUCCCUAGCUAACAGGACCAGUGGUCAGGGAUGAUGGGAAUGGAAGUCCCAAGACAGCU
This is a non-coding RNA of Podarcis lilfordi (Lilford's wall lizard), 86 nucleotides long. Lineage: Eukaryota; Metazoa; Chordata; Lepidosauria; Squamata; Lacertidae. The record is from the annotation of a GenBank genome assembly.